ACUCCAACUAUCGAACUUUACAGUGAAAGUAAAGCAAGAACUUCAACCUUAUUUUUAAAGUUGAAGCACUUAGUUUCAAUAGCAAGAAGCUGAAUGUUUUCUCGAGCACUCAAUUAAAAAGGUUGUGUCACUGAGUCCAUAUUUAUGAUAUCUUCAAAAUUCUCCACAACUAACAUAAAAGUCUAACUUUUUUACCUGAUUUACAUACUUUUUUUGAGACUUGUGAUGACAAGAAGAAAGUGAGAAAUUGUUUUAGAUUUUUGUUAAUGCACCUGCAAAGGAGUAAUCACAGCUGAACAUCCUCAGAAAAAAUGACUUCAGUGUUUGCUGUCAUCCCCACACUUAUUUCCAGUCUCUGGGCUGCCCUCUGGACAAUCAGGAGGCAAAGCAAUUGCUGUUCAGGCAACUGCCCUUGCCAGAAAAAAUAACAGACAGUGAACACUACAAGCAAUUUCUAAGUAGAGUUCCAGUUAUUUGCUGCCCUUUUUCCACAUGCUUUGCUCUCCCCUAAAAUAGUGACACCUAUCUUAGUAUCUACAUUCAUACCCAUAUCCUUCCAGCCUCAGGCAUUAGCAAUACCUUCUGCUUUUCUAGUCCUAAUGACAAGAGAUUACUUGUGCUAACCUUGAACUCCCAGUCUCCUCCUUUUUAACAGGUUUUAACAGCAGCUUUGCUUGGCAUGAGAAAGGCUUUUUCCAGCAAAUUAACCCUCCACUUCCAAAGGGCAGGAAUAACAGCACAGACCACACCUAGUUUUCUGCCAUUUGCUAAAUCAGCUCCUAGGUCACUAUUGUCAUUUGUGACUCCUCUGCCAGCUCUGCUGGCAGGUGCCCCCAGUAUCACAGCCUCCAUCCUCCCAGAAAAAAACACAUCCAGUACACAUGGGAGCAUUCAGUGUUCCAGUUGCCCUUCAGCCUCACAUGAGGUUUGCCCAUGCUGCAGGCUGUCCUGCAGAAAGAGCGGCACACAGCGUGGCCAGCCAAUGCUUGUAAACUGCAGUGGCAGUAAGGCCCCCACGUAGGAACUUACCAGCUGAGCACUUUAAGGGGAAGUCAGAUAUUUGCCAGUUCUUUGCAGACGAAAGGGGCCGAAAAUGGAGUUCAAGAAUAAAUAAAUUUGAUAUCCUAAAAAGAAGGAAAAA
This 1141-nucleotide long non-coding RNA is filed under the name Anas platyrhynchos platyrhynchos (common mallard). RNAcentral's name for it is "lncRNA (ENSAPLG00000017678.1)". Lineage: Eukaryota; Metazoa; Chordata; Aves; Anseriformes; Anatidae. The record is from RNAcentral.